This 786-nucleotide ribosomal RNA is filed under the name uncultured bacterium. RNAcentral's name for it is "bacterial SSU rRNA". It matches the Rfam family "Bacterial small subunit ribosomal RNA", at positions 8 to 796 of the family's 1533-position model. The record is from RNAcentral.
AGAGUUUGAUCCUGGCUCAGAACGAACGCUGGCGGCGUGCUUAACACAUGCAAGUCGAGUGCGCGCCUGUAGCAAUACAGGUGGCGCACGGCGCACGGGUGCGUAACACGUGGGUAAUCUGCCCUCUGAUGGGGAAUAACUCGCCGAAAGGCGAGCUAAUUCCGCAUAAUAUUCCGAAAAGUUCGCUUUUUGGACUGAAAGGCGUAAGUCGUCGGAGGAGGAGCCCGCGCACGAUUAGCUAGUUGGUAGGGUAAUGGCCUACCAAGGCUUUGAUCGUUAGCUGGUCUGAGAGGAUGGCCAGCCACACUGGAACUGAGACACGGUCCAGACUCCUACGGGAGGCAGCAGUGGGGAAUCUUGCACAAUGGGCGAAAGCCUGAUGCAGCGACGCCGCGUGGGGGAUGAAGCUUCUCGGAGUGUAAACCCCUUUCGAUCCGGACGAAUGCCUCGCAAGAGGAGUGACGGUACGGAUAUAAGAAGCCCCGGCUAACUACGUGCCAGCAGCCGCGGUAAUACGUAGGGGGCCAGCGUUGUUCGGAAUUACUGGGUGUAAAGGGUUCGUAGGCGGUGUGGCAAGUUGGGAGUGAAAUCUCUGGGCUCAACCCAGAGACGGCUUCCAAAACUGCCGUGCUUGAGUGUGGGAGAGGCUCGUGGAAUUGCAGGUGUAGCGGUGAAAUGCGUAGAUAUCUGCAGGAACACCCGUGGCGAAAGCGGCGAGCUGGACCACUACUGACGCUGAAGAACGAAAGCUAGGGGAGCAAACAGGAUUAGAUACCCUAGUAGUCC